Molecule: ribosomal RNA, 448 nt
Filed under: uncultured bacterium
Lineage: Bacteria
Description: bacterial SSU rRNA
Rfam family: Bacterial small subunit ribosomal RNA
Source: RNAcentral
UCCAGACUCCUACGGGAGGCAGCAGUGGGGGAUAUUGGACAAUGGGGGGAACCCUGAUCCAGCGAUGCCGCGUGAGGGAAGAAGGUUUUCGGAUUGUAAACCUCUGUGGACAGGGACGAUAAUGACGGUACCUGUCAAGAAAGCCACGGCUAACUACGUGCCAGCAGCCGCGGUAAUACGUAGGGGGCAAGCGUUAUCCGGAUUUACUGGGUGUAAAGGGAGCGUAGACGGUUGCGCAAGUCUGGAGUGAAAGGCGGGGGCCCAACCCCCGGACUGCUCUGGAAACUGUGUAACUGGAGUGCAGGAGAGGUAAGUGGAAUUCCUAGUGUAGCGGUGAAAUGCGUAGAUAUUAGGAGGAACACCAGUGGCGAAGGCGGCUUACUGGACUGUAACUGACGUUGAGGCUCGAAAGCGUGGGGAGCAAACAGGAUUAGAUACCCUAGUAGCA